Molecule: ribosomal RNA, 387 nt
Filed under: uncultured bacterium
Lineage: Bacteria
Description: bacterial SSU rRNA
Rfam family: Bacterial small subunit ribosomal RNA
Source: RNAcentral
GACGAACGCUGGCGGCGUGCUUGACACAUGCAAGUCGAGCGGUAAGGCCCUUUCGGGGGUACACGAGCGGCGAACGGGUGAGUAACACGUGGGUGACCUGCCCUUAGCUCUGGGAUAAGCCUGGGAAACUGGGUCUAAUACCGGAUAUGACUCCAUAACGCAUGUUGUGGGGUGGAAAGCCUUGUGCGGCUAGGGAUGGGCCCGCGGCCUAUCAGCUUGUUGGUGGGGUGAUGGCCUACCAAGGCGACGACGGGUAGCCGGCCUGAGAGGGCGACCGGCCACACUGGGACUGAGACACGGCCCAGACUCCUACGGGAGGCAGCAGUGGGGAAUCUUGCGCAAUGGGCGAAAGCCUGACGCAGCGACGCCGCGUGGGGAUGACGGCCU